UUUUGACGCUAAGAGCGUAUAACCACAUAAACACACAACAAUUAAACAAACAAACACAAACAAAAUGAAUCCCAAAAAAUAUAAUGUUCAGUUCAAUUAUAUAGUCCAAAAUAGAAAAAUGUGAAAAUGUAAACCUGUGCUAACCUACACUAGUCCUAAACUACGCUCCAAUGCUUUAAUCCACCCGAUGUUUUGGACCUUGACCGUGAUAUAAAUACAAUUCCUU
RNAcentral lists this long non-coding RNA (226 nucleotides) under Capsicum annuum. RNAcentral's name for it is "long non-coding RNA (CANN_LNC013613)". The record is from RNAcentral. Lineage: Eukaryota; Viridiplantae; Streptophyta; Magnoliopsida; Solanales; Solanaceae.